AUUUGUAUGUGAGCAGUACGCGAGAGAGUGGCACGUGUGUGUGGCCAGAAAUACGCGGCGAGACGUAUUCGCUUCGGCAGUCGAUCGCGGCGCGAGCAGCGGAACUUGCUCAGGUGUGCGUCCCCGUGUUCCCAGCGUGCAGCAGAGCGCGUGGAAGUUGCACGGUGCAUCGCAAACCGUGGCCCCCGCAGUGUCUCGUAGACGACACGUGCGAACGACGUCGAUCGCGCACGCAACCAGAUAUCAAACAAGUACCGAAACACGCGCCGUGGUGUCCCCCUGUGUGCUCGUCGCUUUUUCGUCGAUCGUCUACCCCUCGAUCGGGUGAACCGUUUUCAUUUAACCCGAGUAAUAUAUUCUAGUGCCUUCUCAAGAUCAAGAGGAACGGGAGCUACAACAAAGGCAACAACAACGACGACGCCGACAGAAACGCUGCGCGAAAAUGUCCAGAAGAUGGCCCUUGGGGUUGCUCCUACUGGUGAUAUGUCUGGUAGUAGGGGUGUUGACAGGAACCACGAUCGCUUAUAGUCGCCGGUCCAUCGACGAUUCCAGCACGGAUCUAUCGAAAUAUCUGGAACUGGCACAACAGAUCAACGAAAUGGAGUCGAUGGACGAAUUCAUGAAACACGUCGAAGGUGCGCCCAAAAAGAAUGUUGCGACGGGUUCAAUUCUUUUCGCAGGUAGAAUAGGCGACUUCCAGGGUCAAGAACGUUCGAACGCAAUACCAGCGACACCGGCCAAGUGUAUACCCGAGUUGCAACCUGUUUCCCUGACAGAAAACAAAGAGAGGUCCAUCCUUUACUUUCCCUCUUGCACGAGGGUCAAGAGGUGCGGGGGGUGCUGCAGUCAUGCGUUGCUUUCGUGUCAACCGGUUGCAACGGAACUUCGAAACUACGAGGUGACGGUCGUUACCAUUGGUAACAGCAAUCAGAUGACAUACAAGGAGAAUCGCAUCGUGCCGUUGGAAGAGCACACGAAAUGCAAGUGCGACUGUAGAAUCAAGGCGGAGCAUUGCAAGGAAAACCAAUCGUAUGUGAAGUCAGAAUGCGGAUGCAAGUGCAAUAACGUCGACGAGGAGUAUAAGUGUCUGCGAAACAAAGAUAUCAAAGUUUGGGAUCCAGAUCGCUGUAUCUGUCUCUGCAGGGACGAGGAAGAAUGUUCUACAGGGCUCUACUUUGAUCAGAACUCGUGCAGGUGUGAGCUGAAAACAUAGGAACGCAACUAAGGGAAUUGGGCAACUGUCUUGUACUGCACUCUCUCGCAUAUCUUGUGUAAGCCACUGCCAUUAUCCAGAACAUGGUUUCAACCGACAAAGGGUACAGAUUACAGAUUCAGUAGGACACAGAAACCAGACACAGUACCGCCAGUUAUAGUGCCAUUAGAUGCUGCGGAUCCUAGAAGAAAACCCAAAGAUGAUCCAGAAUAUUAAAAGGAUUCAGAAGUUGUACACUACAUCACAAGACACGCUUACAGCUCAACCUUCCACGACCGUGCCAUUUUAUAUUACAACAUUAAAUAUUUAAUUAUAGUAUUCGUGAGAUAGUAUUAAUUCGAUAUUGCAGGAUAUGAGUCAUUAUAUUUUUACAUAUCAAAAGACUUUUUCUAUGAUAUAAAAAAAUACAAUUAUUUAAAAUA
This is a non-coding RNA of Megalopta genalis, 1635 nucleotides long. Lineage: Eukaryota; Metazoa; Arthropoda; Insecta; Hymenoptera; Halictidae. The record is from RefSeq and is a predicted model, not a curated record.